This 505-nucleotide ribosomal RNA is filed under the name uncultured bacterium. RNAcentral describes it as "partial 16S ribosomal RNA". It matches the Rfam family "Bacterial small subunit ribosomal RNA", at positions 28 to 507 of the family's 1533-position model. The record is from RNAcentral.
GACGAACGCUGGCGGCGUGCCUAAUACAUGCAAGUCGAACGCACAGUUUAUACCGUAGCUUGCUACACCAUAAACUGUGAGUUGCGAACGGGUGAGUAACGCGUAGGUAACCUGCCUGGUAGCGGGGGAUAACUAUUGGGAACGAUAGCUAAUACCGCAUAAUAUUGAUUAUUGCAUGAUAAUUGAUUGAAAGAUGCUAUUGCAUCACUACCAGAUGGACCUGCGUUGUAUUAGCUAGUAGGUGAGGUAACGGCUCACCUAGGCGACGAUACAUAGCCGACCUGAGAGGGUGAUCGGCCACACUGGGACUGAGACACGGCCCAGACUCCUACGGGAGGCAGCAGUAGGGAAUCUUCGGCAAUGGACGAAAGUCUGACCGAGCAACGCCGCGUGAGUGAAGAAGGUUUUCGGAUCGUAAAGCUCUGUUGUAAGAGAAGAACGGGUGUGAGAGUGGAAAGUUCACACUGUGACGGUAUCUUACCAGAAAGGGACGGCUAACUACGUG